UUUUUCCUUUCUCUUCUUUCCUAUCUUUCUUUAUUUCUUUGAACGAUCUUCGGUGCAAGUAUUCUAUGGGUUUUGGGUGUAGGUGUGUGUGUGUGUGGGUGUGUGUAAAUCAUAAAUGUUUGUUCCUAUUUUUUGUUUAACCAUUCUGUUGUACAUCUUUUUUUUUUAUCUUUCUUUCUAUUAUUUAUCUUGUUUUUUAGAUUUUUUUAACAUUUCUUUUCUUUUUUUGAAUAUCAAUUUCAAUUAAAAUUGCUUUAGGAUUCGUUUUAAAAUUGUUUUCAGAAUUCGCGGAGUGUGUUACAUUUUUUCUUCUUUAUGAUUUCCAAAUCUUUUCUCAAAUUACAAUUUAAAUUAGUUCUUUAGUUUUUUUUUUGUUUUUCUGAAGACUUCUCCUGCUUUUAGUACAGUUCAUUUUUAAUUAUUCUUUCUUUAUGUUUCUUUAGUUUUCGCAACUGCUUAAGAGCCAAAUUUUGUUGAAUUCUGUGCAGUGUACAUUUUCUUUUCUUGUUUCUAUUUAAAUUUAAAUUACGAACAUUUUAAACAUUUUUUAGAAUUUCUCAAAUUAAAUUUAGAAAUUUUUUAGCUACCAAAAGAGGUUUGCCGAUUUCGUUCGCUUUUUGUUUAUUUUUCGCAAUUGCUAAAGAGCCAAAUUUUGUUGAAUUUCCGAAUUUCUGUCGAGUGUACAACAUUCUUUUCUGAGAAUUAUUUAUACAUUUUUAAGGAUUUCUCUUCUCUUUCUUCGCUAUUUUGUGUAGUUUUCGCAACUUCUAAGACCCAAAUUUUGUUGAAUUCUGUCAAACAUCUUUAAGUACCAAAAAAAUUACUAAAUCGCGCACUAAAGUUACUUAGACUUGAGAGUUACUUAUACAUUUUAAAGGAUUUCUUCAAGUAUUUUAGGUACCUAAAGAGGUUUGCCGUUUUCAUUAUAUUAAAUUUAAAAUUAUUCUUAUUUUAAGGCUUAUUUUUUAUGCAAGUUCGUAACUUUAAAAGCGGAAAACUGUACCAAUUCGUUUAAAUUUGAGCGUUCCUUUAGUGUUCGCUGUUCUUAAUUUUAAUUUGAGAGUUGCUGGUACGAUUAUUAUUUAUACAUAUUUUGAUUUUGAGUGCUAAAGAGCUUUACAUUUAAAUUGAAGUGCCUUUCAUGUACAUUUUUCUGAAGCGGUCUCCAGCAUUCUUUUUAUACAUUUUCUGAACGUAUUUUUAAAUGAAUUUUCCAGCAACGAUGUCGGGAAAUUUGUCUACUUCUGACUAGAGAAAGACCGCGCGUGUGUGUCUGUCUAAAUUAUGUUUCGAAAUUCGUUUUCGAUCACAAACAUUUUGAGUCUUUUUUUUCAAACUAAAAAAUAAAAACUUAUACUAAUGCUUUCUAGUUUACUACGAUUUUUUCGACGUCGGAGUAUUCGCGUUACUUUGUAGUUAAGGUUCGAAAAACAACAAACAAAAAAAUAUCUAACUUAAGUCUGUAAAUGUAUCCUUAGGGAAGCUGCUAAAAACUAAGUGGAUGACCAGCCUAGCGAUACAAUGUUGUUGCGCAUUUGUAGGCCAAGUAUGACCUGAAAUACGCGCAGUGCUUGGCCAAGUUUAAAGCCAAAACAUCGUAUCAUAUCCUCGCGCGUAAGCAUCAACAGUGCUUCACCAUCCAUGUCCUGUCUGUUGAGUUCUUGUGCCUCCUCCGGAUAGAAACGUGACACAUAUGCGGUAACCUGUUCGGUAGUCCAGUUGCUC
This 1725-nucleotide long non-coding RNA is filed under the name Drosophila guanche. Lineage: Eukaryota; Metazoa; Arthropoda; Insecta; Diptera; Drosophilidae. The record is from RNAcentral.